GGCUCCAUAGCUCAGGUGUCAGAGGUAUAGUCUUAUGAACCAGCAGCUGUGAGUUCAAACCUUGCUGGGGCCU
This 73-nucleotide transfer RNA is filed under the name Heterocephalus glaber (naked mole-rat). It matches the Rfam family "tRNA". Rfam says of the family: Transfer RNA (tRNA) molecules are approximately 80 nucleotides in length. Their secondary structure includes four short double-helical elements and three loops (D, anti-codon, and T loops). The record is from Rfam by way of RNAcentral. Lineage: Eukaryota; Metazoa; Chordata; Mammalia; Rodentia; Bathyergidae.